GACGAACGCUGGCGGCGUGCUUAACACAUGCAAGUCGAGCGGUAAGGCCCUUUCGGGGGUACACGAGCGGCGAACGGGUGAGUAACACGUGGGUGACCUGCCCUUAGCUCUGGGAUAAGCCUGGGAAACUGGGUCUAAUACCGGAUAUGACUCCAUGACGCAUGUUGUGGGGUGGAAAGCCUUGUGCGGCUAGGGAUGGGCCUGCGGCCUAUCAGCUUGUUGGUGGGGUGANGGCCUACCAAGGCGACGACGGGUAGCCGGCCUGAGAGGGCGACCGGCCACACUGGGACUGAGACACGGCCCAGACUCCUACGGGAGGCAGCAGUGGGGAAUCUUGCGCAAUGGGCGAAAG
Molecule: ribosomal RNA, 352 nt
Filed under: uncultured bacterium
Lineage: Bacteria
Description: bacterial SSU rRNA
Rfam family: Bacterial small subunit ribosomal RNA
Source: RNAcentral